Carya illinoinensis is the source of this 439-nucleotide long non-coding RNA. RefSeq lists it as uncharacterized. The record is from RefSeq and is a predicted model, not a curated record. The transcript has 3 exons. Lineage: Eukaryota; Viridiplantae; Streptophyta; Magnoliopsida; Fagales; Juglandaceae.
UUUCAUGUAUAUAAAGCGCAGUAAACAGUACUACCACCGUCGAUCGAGGAUAACCAGAUCGAAGCUAGCGGCACUUAUGGGCAAUCUCCUUUUAGGUCUCUCAGUUAUUCUUUUCCUACUGACAAGUAGCGCGCGGUAGUCUAAACCAGAGCACUUUCCCGAGAGGAUUCGUUUUUGGCACGGCAUCAGCGUCUUAUUAGGUGCAGCAAAAGAAGGUGGUAAAGGACCAUCAACAUGGGACACUUUCACCCAUAGAUAUCCAGAUGAGGAGGAGGCUGAGCCUAAGGAGGCGGCUCCACCAGAGGAUUGAUUUGGAGUUGCUUAUAGUAUUGCAAAAUUAUUUUCCUUGCCUUUAUAUUUUGUAUUUUGGAUUUGUAACAAUGUUGAAACUUGUAAUAUUUUGAUACACUUGUUUUAAGCGAGUUGUAUUUAAAUAAAA